Molecule: long non-coding RNA, 284 nt
Organism: Homo sapiens (human)
Lineage: Eukaryota; Metazoa; Chordata; Mammalia; Primates; Hominidae
Exons: 2
Source: RefSeq, a predicted model, not a curated record
UAGCACCUCCCUCCUUACUCUCUUGCUCCCACUUCACCUUCUGCCAUCAUUGUAAGUUUCCUGAGGCCUCCACAGAAGCUCAGCAGAUGUCAGUGUCAUGCUCCCUGUACAGCCUACAAAACUGUGAGGAUUCAGGAGAUAAUUCUGCGAACAGAAAUUCCUGAGAACUGAGAUGGGGGAAAUCGCUGGUAUUAGAAGGGUGAAAAGGUCAGUAAUUAAGGCUACGACUGUGCUCUUAGAGGCAAAAGAAGAAAAUGAGACUGCCAGGCAUGAAUAAUGAGAAA